Raphanus sativus (radish) is the source of this 726-nucleotide long non-coding RNA. RefSeq lists it as uncharacterized. The record is from RefSeq and is a predicted model, not a curated record. The transcript is spliced from 3 exons. NCBI's taxonomy places the organism in Eukaryota, Viridiplantae, Streptophyta, Magnoliopsida, Brassicales, Brassicaceae.
UCUUCUAUAGACUCUACGCCAUUCGACGAGGCGGAAGAGACAAGAGAGCACCAGGAAUUUGGUUUCCCGGUGAAUAAAUCGGCUGUCUUGAUCUGUUACGGACGCGACGGUGAUUUGGGUUUGAUGCUCUCACAAAGAGCAUCUGCUUUCCUGUAGGAGGAAUAUUAUGGGACAAAAAAAAGCAUUCAAUCCAACGCCAAAUCUUGCAGAAGUGGAAGCCGUGUUUGAUUCACCAUUCUGAAGUACACUGCUUGCUUUAUCUAGUUGGAAAUUAUCAAGAUGGGUGAUGCUGUGCAAAUCUGAAUCAUUUGACCUGAAACCCAAGGUAUGUUGCGGUGAUGUUGUCAUUUACAGCUGGAGAAAACAAGGAAAAUGAUUAGUGAAUUGCUGUCUUAAACGUGAUCUUUGAAAAUCUGAUACCAAAAGAAGAAAACUAUCGGUGACAUUAGAUUGUUUUUUGUCAUAUGGAUCAAAUAAGGAGGAGAAAAGGAAAGAGAUUGAGGAAAGAAUUAGAGGGGAUAACCAAGGAUUCUAGCUAUAACUACAAUCAAUAGUAGCAUUGUACGGUUUAAUUUCUUUCUUUAUUAGUUUAGUGUAAUGUAUCAAGUCCCUAAGUAUGAGAAAAAAUAUAUACACCUCAAACAUUCUCAUUCCUCAACGCCCUCUUAAUUACAAUCCCAAAGCAUUAUAGGGGGUUUCUUUACUACUCCAUAUAGUGUAAUGUAA